Molecule: ribosomal RNA, 460 nt
Filed under: uncultured bacterium
Lineage: Bacteria
Description: partial 16S ribosomal RNA
Rfam family: Bacterial small subunit ribosomal RNA
Source: RNAcentral
CCUACGGGUGGCAGCAGUGAGGAAUAUUGGUCAAUGGACGAGAGUCUGAACCAGCCAAGUAGCGUGAAGGAUGACUGCCCUAUGGGUUGUAAACUUCUUUUAUAUGGGAAUAAAAUGUUCCACGUGUGGGAUUUUGUAUGUACCAUAUGAAUAAGGAUCGGCUAACUCCGUGCCAGCAGCCGCGGUAAUACGGAGGAUCCGAGCGUUAUCCGGAUUUAUUGGGUUUAAAGGGAACGUAGGUGGAUUGUUAAGUCAGUUGUGAAAGUUUGUGGCUCAACCGUAAAAUUGCAGUUGAAACUGGCAGUCUUGAGUACAGUAGAGGUGGGCGGAAUUCGUGGUGUAGCGGUGAAAUGCUUAGAUAUCACGAAGAACUCCGAUUGCGAAGGCAGUUCACUGGACUGCAACUGACACUGAGGCUCGAAAGUGUGGGUAUCAAACAGGAUUAGAUACCCGUGUAGUC